This is a small nucleolar RNA of Diceros bicornis minor, 133 nucleotides long. RefSeq annotates it as small nucleolar RNA SNORA71. The record is from RefSeq and is a predicted model, not a curated record. NCBI's taxonomy places the organism in Eukaryota, Metazoa, Chordata, Mammalia, Perissodactyla, Rhinocerotidae. The transcript has a single exon.
UCCUGCAUUUGGAAGUGAUCAUGGCCGCCCAGGUCCUGCUCAUUGGUAGUGCAGGCAGAGGAAACAUGGAAAGGGUUGUCCCGUGUUUGGAGGGUCCACGUCUUUACCUUCCAGUUCCGGGAGCUUUUCCACA